AGUGAACGCUGGCGGCAGGCCUAACACAUGCAAGUCGAGCGGCAGCGCGGGGGCAACCCUGGCGGUGAGCGGCGGACGGGUGAGGAAUUCGUCGGAAUCUGCCUUUUUGUGGGGGAUAACGUAGGGAAACUUACGCUAAUACCGCAUACGACCUACGGGUGAAAGUGGGGGACCGCAAGGCCUCACGCAGAAAGAUGAGCCGACGACCGAUUAGCUAGUUGGUGGGGUAAAGGCCCACCAAGGCGACGAUCGGUAGCUGGUCUGUGGGGAUGAUCAGCCACACUGGGACUGAGACACGGCCCAGACUCCUACGGGAGGCAGCAGUGGGGAAUAUUGGACAAUGGGCGCAAGCCUGAUCCAGCCAUGCCGCGUGUGUGAAGAAGGCCUUCGGGUUGUAAAGCACUUUUGUCCGGAAAGAAAUCUUCCAACUUAAUACGUUGGGAGGAUGACGGUACCGGAAGAAUAAGCACCGGCUAACUUCGUGCCAGCAGCCGCGGUAA
RNAcentral lists this ribosomal RNA (500 nucleotides) under uncultured bacterium. RNAcentral describes it as "partial 16S ribosomal RNA". It matches the Rfam family "Bacterial small subunit ribosomal RNA", at positions 29 to 523 of the family's 1533-position model. The record is from RNAcentral.